This 275-nucleotide ribosomal RNA is filed under the name uncultured bacterium. RNAcentral's name for it is "partial 16S ribosomal RNA". It matches the Rfam family "Bacterial small subunit ribosomal RNA", at positions 338 to 627 of the family's 1533-position model. The record is from RNAcentral.
CCUACGGGUGGCUGCAGUUAGGAAUUUUGCGCAAUGGGGGAAACCCUGACGCAGCAACGCCGCGUGGAGGAUGAAGGCCUUCGGGUUGUAAACUCCUUUUAGCUGGAAAGAACAAAAUGACGGUACCAGCAGAAAAAGCACCGGCUAACUCUGUGCCAGCAGCCGCGGUAAUACAGAGGGUGCAAGCGUUAUUCGGAAUCACUGGGCGUAAAGAGCGCGUAGGCUGUUUGAUAAGUCCGAUGUGAAAUCCCUGGACUCAAUCCAGGAACUGCAUC